Cyprinus carpio carpio is the source of this 1877-nucleotide long non-coding RNA. Lineage: Eukaryota; Metazoa; Chordata; Actinopteri; Cypriniformes; Cyprinidae. The record is from Ensembl.
UCACUCCCUCCCACCUACAACUCCUGCUAGCACCGAGACUCAAACCUGUGACCUUCAGGUUACAAGUCCAACUCUCUAACCAUGUAGCGAAUACAGGAAGCUAUCGAUCAAGAAGGUUGGUACUUAUAUGGUGCACUGCCUCAACAACGAGACAAGCCAGGAUCUACAUGUCUUGGUGCUUGGAGACAAAGAAAAUUCUUCCCAAGUUUUCUUAAGUUAAAAAUGGAGAGGCAGUUGAAAAGAAGAACUUACUUCAACCAGUGAAUGAAUGCUUCAAAAUGUUCUACAUCUAUGACAUAAACUACCCAAAGCCCUCUGCUCCCAUUUGGGAGUUCUUGUAUCAUGCAGUCUAUAAUAUUCCUGGAGGAGUUCCUUCUACACAUUGCUGCCUCCUAAAAAACUUUGUAUUCCGUGUUACUGGUCAUCAGUACAUCCAGUAGCCAAAACACAGGGUUAGUUCACCCAAAAAAUGAAAAUUCUGUCAUUAAUUACUCACCCUCAUGUUGUUCCAAACCUGUAAAGCCUGGCUCACACUACAUUAUUUUUAGCCCGAUUUAGCCCCGAUUUCCCCCUCCCGAGAAUUGGAGCAAACAUCUUGUCGAGCACCUCGAUCUGUCCCGAUGUUCGGCGCGGAUUAUUUGGUAGUGUGAGGCGUUCACCGAUCAAAUCUUGCACCUCCCGAUCUGCUCGCACACAAAUCGGGGCAGCCCCGAUUAUUGUUAAACAUGUUUGAUAUUUAGGAUUUAAAUCGGGAUGAUAAUGGCUAUAUGAUGACGUCAGUACUUUCACAGCCAAUGCGCAAAACCGCAAAACAGAUGAUGUACGGCUUGGUUGGAUAGUUUUGUAGUAAAACGACUGUCUGUAUAAUGUGUCGAAAACGCAUCACAACCGUAAGGAGAAAGAGAAGUGCUGGAGUGAAAUCACCUCAGUUUUGAAUGCACCGGGGGAGUGCAGUAAGCUACUAGCACGCAAAAAAAAGUGACGAUCUGCUGUGUGAGAUCAUGUGAGACACUCCCUCUAGCAUGAUAAUCUUAAUUAUAUCUUGCAGUGUGUGAUGAGCCACGAUGUUCAAAUCUUGUAGUGUGUGCAUGUUUAAUAUUUGAGGGAAGAUAAUCUGCAAUAAUCUCCUUAUGUGUGUGCUGCAACCAGAUUUCAAAAUCGGUUAUGAUUUUAAAACUCCUGUAGUGUGAGCUCGGCUGAAGACCUCCGUUUAUCUGCGGAACACAAAUCAAGAUAUAUUUUUGAUGCAUUCGUACAGCUCUCUGACCCUCCAUAGACAGCAAGGGUACUAUGAUCAACUUGCCCAUGAGUUGUGCUGGACCCUGAGCCGCUGAAGCUGUCCUGAGGCACUAGAGAGGAAAAGGAGGGGUUCCAUUCUCGCCUCAGCUGGAACGCCCCAAAAAACAACUUGCUUUCACUCCUCACCUCUUCGAACACCUCUGAGAGACGGAGUCUCAUUUUCAGCGGGUCAUGUCCUGCAGGGGAAGCACGUACCCGAUUUUACUGCUGGGGGCAGGAACAACUUUCUUUCUUUCAACUUUACCUAAAUUUCUGAAGGGCGCGAGGAGACUGAAUCCACCUCGCCCUCAGACAAUGCCGUGUUGGGACUUAUCCAUGGUCCUGAGGACCCUGAAAAGGCCCCUGUUUGAGCCGCUCAGUUCAGCUGACUUGUGGCCCUUAUCGCUUAAAACGGCCCUUCUCCAUGCUUUGGCGUUGGUUAAGCAAGUGGGUGACUUGCAAGCGCUGUCAAUGAUAAUUUUCACUACAAAUUUAUGUUUAACUUUAUACUUUACACCAUAUAUAUUAAAAUUAAUCUAAAACUCUGAUGAUAGAUUUCUUUCCAGUUGGCAAUUCAUCCUAAAGGUACUGUUUUGUGA